AUGGUGCAGGACCGCCAGCGGCGUGCGGAAGCGCGGCGGAGCGCGGCGUCCGCCGGGCAGUCGAGCCGCUGCGAGCUGGCGCUGCUCCGCUCUACCGCCGACCUCCGGGGCCAAGCGCGCUGGGGCACCGCGCUGCGCGGCACAGAGCAGUCGGCUGCGCUGGAGCAGAGUGGGGACACGGACCCUCGCAGAACCACAGAGGAGCGUCGCACAACUGCGCCAAGGACAAACCCAGGGCACUCACACCAGGGGCUGGAGCCGUCGCCGCGCUCCCACGGGAAGGUAAAACGAGUUCAGAUGCCUGUUGCCCACCACUGACAAUUCCCCUAACGGGUGUCUGCUGACAGUUUACACGUUGGGUAUUGCGAGUUCAGAUUCAAAAGCCGGCGGGCAGCGUGUGUGAUGUGCAUUCUGUCUUCCUGCAAAAGGUAGAAUAGAAAGAGAAAACAAUGGGUGGCAAACAAUCUUUCUCCAGUUAGUUGACUUCCUGAUCCUUCGCUCUUUGAUCGUGACCCAAGCCACUAAUGCCAGGAUGAGUGAGUGCCUGUGGAAUACUCUAAUCUUUUUGUGGCGAAGCCUUGUUAAUACCUUGAGCCAUCAAGCUGAGUUAGUGGAUCAGAGCAAAACAGCGUUGUGGCAUCAGUCCACGACGCUGAGGGGUCUGUUUCCUCGGGAUUCCUCCCAGAAACUCUAGUUAGAACCAUUCCUUAUAGAAAUUUGCAACCAGCCUCUCUGUCCCUUGUUCAGUUUUAGAGGGGGAAGCAGAUCCUGCCAAGUUAGGAAAACAAAGGCCUGAAAUUGGAAACCAAAGUCUUUCCUAACUAGCGCAUGUUGAGGUUUUGCACACAUUACUUUCCCUCUAUUCAUCAGUGUCUUUAUUUCUGAAGUGACGAUGGCCAUACUCAGUUCACUUGGAAUUUCUCUUAAAUAGAAAAAAAAACAGUUUAAACAACUCAAAAUAAUAUUCUUUCCAAAAAUAUUAGUUAUGGCUUCCCCUAAAGAAGAUUGGAUUUUCAGUCUUUUCUGGGCUUGCCCACACCUUCAUAAUAUUGCAUGUAUAAGUAUCUUUAUACAGCUUAAUCUGAAAUUGAUUAUCUGGUUAAUGUAAAAUUAUGCCUACAGGAGCACAGACGUUAUUUAUAAAACAAAGCAGCUUGGGCUUCUCAGUUACCAUGAAAGAAAAGUAAACUGAACUGGAAAUAUACAAGAUGUUCCAUAUAAUUCUACUUAAAAUAUUUUUGUAAAUAUUUCUUAACUUGGGGAAAUAUUCCUUGUCACGCCUGUGUUUUGUGCAACAGGUUCCAUGCUUCCUAAUAUAUUUGCACCUGUGAAUAGUGAACUCUGUACCCAGGAGUUGUAAUUUUAGAAGAGUAGGAGUGGCUUGAAACAACAACCACAAAAACAUAUAGAAAGCACAGAAGAGCAAUCAGAUUAAUUGCUUCGGAGGGUUUGACUGACUUCGAUGACAUUGAUUCUACAAACAUUUUUGCCUCCCAUACAACUGCCUUUUAAAAGCAGCCUAGCAGUCUUAUACAAAUAUUUAUCUUAUUCCCUUACAGACAUGCGUGUCUUAGGAAACACCCAUAGUUCCACAGACAUCUCGUCAGCAACUUUGAGAAGACUAAAUGACCUCUCUCUCUCCCAAUAAAGUACAGAAUUGGAUGAAAAAAUGGAUUUAU
This 1679-nucleotide long non-coding RNA is filed under the name Felis catus (domestic cat). RNAcentral describes it as "lncRNA (ENSFCAG00000044353.2)". Lineage: Eukaryota; Metazoa; Chordata; Mammalia; Carnivora; Felidae. The record is from RNAcentral.